This 468-nucleotide ribosomal RNA is filed under the name uncultured bacterium. Its description in RNAcentral is "partial 16S ribosomal RNA". It matches the Rfam family "Bacterial small subunit ribosomal RNA", at positions 28 to 507 of the family's 1533-position model. The record is from RNAcentral.
GACGAACGCUGGCGGCGUGCUUAACACAUGCAAGUCGAACGGAAAGGCCCUGCUUUUGUGGGGUGCUCGAGUGGCGAACGGGUGAGUAACACGUGAGUAACCUGCCCUUGACUUUGGGAUAACUUCAGGAAACUGGGGCUAAUACCGGAUAGGAGCUCCUGCUGCAUGGUGGGGGUUGGAAAGUUUCGGCGGUUGGGGAUGGACUCGCGGCUUAUCAGCUUGUUGGUGGGGGAGUGGCUUACCAAGGCUUUGACGGGUAGCCGGCCUGAGAGGGUGACCGGCCACAUUGGGCCUGAGAUACGGCCCAGACUCCUACGGGCGGCAGCAGUGGGGAAUAUUGCCCAAUGGGCGGACGCCUGAUGCAGCAACGCCGCGUGCGGGAUGACGGCCUUCGGGUUGUAAACCGCUUUCGCCUGUGACGAAGCGUGAGUGACGGUAAUGGGUAAAGAAGCACCGGCUAACUACGUG